AUUGAACUCUGGCGGCAGGCCUAACACAUGCAAGUCGAACGAGUGGCGGACGGGUGAGUAAUGUCUGGGAAACUGCCUGAUGGCUGGGGAUAACUACUGGAAACGGUAGCUAAUACCGCAUACCAUCAGAUGUGCCCAUAUGGGAUUAGCUAGUUGGUGGGUUACCGGCUCACCAAGGCGACGAUCCCUAGCUGGUCUGAGAGGAUGACAAGCAACACUGGAACUGAGACACGGUCCAGACGCCUACGGGAGGCAGCAGGGGGGAAGAUUGCACAAGGGGCGAAAGCCUGAUGCAGCCAUGCCGCGUGUAUGAAGAAGGCCUUCGGGUUGUAAAGUACUUUCAGCGGGGAGGCAUUACCCGCAGAAGAAGCACCGGCUAACUCCGUGCCAGCAGCCGCGGUAAUUC
RNAcentral lists this ribosomal RNA (406 nucleotides) under uncultured bacterium. RNAcentral's name for it is "partial 16S ribosomal RNA". It matches the Rfam family "Bacterial small subunit ribosomal RNA", at positions 30 to 526 of the family's 1533-position model. The record is from RNAcentral.